GAUGAACGCCGGCGGCGUGCUUAACACAUGCAAGUCGAGCGAGAAGUUUUGAAAAGAUUCUUCGGAUGCAAUUUAAAAUGGAAAGCGGCGGACGGGUGAGUAACGCGUAGGCAACCUGCCCCAUACAAAGGGAUAGCAUUUGGAAACGAAUAUUAAUACCUUAUGAAACUUAACUAGUGCAUGCUAGGUAGGUCAAAGAUUUAUCGGUAUGGGAUGGGCCUGCGUCUGAUUAGCUAGUUGGUGAGGUAACGGCUCACCAAGGCGACGAUCAGUAGCCGACCUGAGAGGGUGAACGGCCACAUUGGAACUGAGACACGGUCCAAACUCCUACGGGAGGCAGCAGUGGGGAAUAUUGCACAAUGGGGGAAACCCUGAUGCAGCAACGCCGCGUGAACGAUGAAGGCCUUUGGGUCGUAAAGUUCUGUUCUAGGUGAUGAAAACUGACAGUAACCUAGGAGAAAGCCCCGGCUAACUCCGUG
This 479-nucleotide ribosomal RNA is filed under the name uncultured bacterium. RNAcentral's name for it is "partial 16S ribosomal RNA". It matches the Rfam family "Bacterial small subunit ribosomal RNA", at positions 28 to 507 of the family's 1533-position model. The record is from RNAcentral.